AGAGCACUCUAAAGAGACUGCCGGUGACAAACCGGAGGAAGGUGGGGAUGACGUCAAGUCCUCAUGCCCUUAUGGGUAGGGCUUCACACGUCAUACAAUGGUGCAUACAGAGGGUUGCCAACCCGCGAGGGGGAGCUAAUCUCAGAAAAUGCAUCGUAGUCCGGAUCGUAGUCUGCAACUUGACUACGUGAAGCUGGAAUCGCUAGUAAUCGCGGAUCAGAAUGUCGCGGUGAAUACGUUCCCGGGUCUUGUACACACCGCCCGUCAC
This 268-nucleotide ribosomal RNA is filed under the name uncultured beta proteobacterium. Its description in RNAcentral is "partial 16S ribosomal RNA". It matches the Rfam family "Bacterial small subunit ribosomal RNA", at positions 1132 to 1400 of the family's 1533-position model. Lineage: Bacteria; Pseudomonadati; Pseudomonadota; Betaproteobacteria. The record is from RNAcentral.